GGGUUUGUAGCUCAGAUGGUAGAGCACACCCCUGAUAAGGGUGAGGCCGGUAGUUCAAAUCUACCCAAACCCA
RNAcentral lists this transfer RNA (73 nucleotides) under Candidatus Portiera aleyrodidarum (primary endosymbiont of Bemisia tabaci). RNAcentral describes it as "tRNA-Ile". It matches the Rfam family "tRNA". From Rfam's summary of the family: Transfer RNA (tRNA) molecules are approximately 80 nucleotides in length. Their secondary structure includes four short double-helical elements and three loops (D, anti-codon, and T loops). Lineage: Bacteria; Pseudomonadati; Pseudomonadota; Gammaproteobacteria; Johnevansiales (SeqCode); Johnevansiaceae (SeqCode). The record is from RNAcentral.